Molecule: transfer RNA, 62 nt
Filed under: Doliolum nationalis
Lineage: Eukaryota; Metazoa; Chordata; Thaliacea; Doliolida; Doliolidae
Description: tRNA-Leu
Source: RNAcentral
GCUAAAGUGGCGGAUAAACGUAUGGGACCUAAGAUCUCACCAUGUACAAUUGUACCUUUAGU